AACGAUGAAGCCCAGCUUGCUGGGUGGAUUAGUGGCGAACGGGUGAGUAACACGUGAGUAACCUGCCCCCGACUCUGGGAUAAGCCCGGGAAACUGGGUCUAAUACCGGAUAUGACCAUGGAACGCAUGUUUUGUGGUGGAAAGAUUUAUCGGUGGGGGAUGGACUCGCGGCCUAUCAGCUUGUUGGUGAGGUAAUGGCUCACCAAGGCGACGACGGGUAGCCGGCCUGAGAGGGUGACCGGCCACACUGGGACUGAGACACGGCCCAGACUCCUACGGGAGGCAGCAGUGGGGAAUAUUGCACAAUGGGCGCAAGCCUGAUGCAGCGACGCCGCGUGAGGGAUGACGGCCUUCGGGUUGUAAACCUCUUUCAGUAGGGAAGAAGCGAAAGUGACGGUACCUGCAGAAGAAGCGCCGGCUAACUACGUGCCAGCAGCCGCGGUAAUACGUAGGGCGCAAGCGUUAUCCGGAUUUAUUGGGCGUAAAGAGCUCGUAGGCGGUUUGUCGCGUCUGCCGUGAAAGUCCGAGGCUCAACCUCGGAUCUGCGGUGGGUACGGGCAGACUAGAGUGAUGUAGGGGAGACUGGAAUUCCUGGUGUAGCGGUGAAAUGCGCAGAUAUCAGGAGGAACACCGAUGGCGAAGGCAGGUCUCUGGGCAUUUACUGACGCUGAGGAGCGAAAGCAUGGGGAGCGAACAGGAUUAGAUACCCUGGUAGUCCAUGCCGUAAACGUUGGGCACUAGGUGUGGGGGACAUUCCACGUUUUCCGCGCCGUAGCUAACGCAUUAAGUGCCCCGCCUGGGGAGUACGGCCGCAAGGCUAAAACUCAAAGGAAUUGACGGGGGCCCGCACAAGCGGCGGAGCAUGCGGAUUAAUUCGAUGCAACGCGAAGAACCUUACCAAGGCUUGACAUGUGCCAGACCGCUCCAGAGAUGGGGUUUCCCUUCGGAGCUGGUUCACAGGUGGUGCAUGGUUGUCGUCAGCUCGUGUCGUGAGAUGUUGAGUUAAGUCCCGAAACGAGCGCAACCCUCGUUCCAUGUUGCCAGCCCGU
This is a ribosomal RNA of 1049 nucleotides. It matches the Rfam family "Bacterial small subunit ribosomal RNA", at positions 65 to 1126 of the family's 1533-position model.